CCUACGGGAGGCAGCAGUGAGGAAUAUUGGUCAAUGGACGCAAGUCUGAACCAGCCAUGCCGCGUGCAGGAAGACGGCUCUAUGAGUUGUAAACUGCUUUUGUACGAGGAUAAACGCAGAUACGCGUAUCUGUCUGCAAGUAUCGUACGAAUAAGGAUCGGCUAACUCCGUGCCAGCAGCCGCGGUAAUACGGAGGAUUCGAGCGUUAUCCGGAUUUAUUGGGUUUAAAGGGUGCGUAGGCGGUCUGAUAAGUGAGAGGUGAAAUCCCGAGGCUCAACUUCGGAAUUGCCUCUGAUACUGUUCGGCUAGAGAGUAGGUGCGGUAGGCGGAAUGUAUGGUGUAGCGGUGAAAUGCUUAGAGAUCAUACAGAACACCGAUUGCGAAGGCAGCUUACCAAGUUACCUCUGACGUUGAGGCACGAAAGCGUGGGGAGCAAACAGGAUUAGAUACCCCGGUAGUC
Molecule: ribosomal RNA, 460 nt
Filed under: uncultured bacterium
Lineage: Bacteria
Description: partial 16S ribosomal RNA
Rfam family: Bacterial small subunit ribosomal RNA
Source: RNAcentral